GAUGAACGCUGGCGGCGUGCCUAAUACAUGCAAGUCGAGCGAACAGACGAGGAGCUUGCUCCUCUGACGUUAGCGGCGGACGGGUGAGUAACACGUGGAUAACCUACCUAUAAGACUAGGAUAACUUCGGGAAACCGGAGCUAAUACCGGAUAAUAUAUUGAACCGCAUGGUUCAAUAGUGAAAGACGGUUUUGCUGGCACUUAUAGAUGGAUCCGCGCCGCAUUAGCUAGUUGGUAAGGUAACGGCUUACCAAGGCAACGAUGCGUAGCCGACCUGAGAGGGUGAUCGGCCACACUGGAACUGAGACACGGUCCAGACUCCUACGGGAGGAAGCAGUAGGGAAUCUUACGCAAUGGGCGAAAGCCUGACGGAGCAACGCCGCGUGAGUGAUGAAGGUCUUCGGAUCGUAAAACUCUGUUAUUAGGGAAGAACAAAUGUGUAAGUAACUAUGCACGUAUUGACGGUACCUAAUCAGAAAGCCACGGCUAACUCCGUG
Molecule: ribosomal RNA, 497 nt
Filed under: uncultured bacterium
Lineage: Bacteria
Description: partial 16S ribosomal RNA
Rfam family: Bacterial small subunit ribosomal RNA
Source: RNAcentral